CAUCACACCUCACGCGUGGGCAUCACCAGGAAUCCGGCGGAAAUCCGGAGCGGUCGCGCCACUGUGACCCGUGCCCGUCCUCGGACGGCACGGGAAGUCAGACCCUGGCCCACACCAUCUGAUCGGG
Molecule: non-coding RNA, 127 nt
Filed under: Gordonia rhizosphera
Lineage: Bacteria; Bacillati; Actinomycetota; Actinomycetes; Mycobacteriales; Gordoniaceae
Source: RNAcentral